Molecule: ribosomal RNA, 368 nt
Filed under: Zonaria tournefortii
Lineage: Eukaryota; Phaeophyceae; Dictyotales; Dictyotaceae
Description: bacterial LSU rRNA
Rfam family: Bacterial large subunit ribosomal RNA
Source: RNAcentral
GCUUUACUGUAACUUGAAAUUGACUUUGGGUUGUAUUUGCGCAGGAUAGGUGGGAGACUACGAAGUUUUUCUUUUGGGAAAAAUUGAGUCAUUAGUGAGAUACCACUCUGAUACAACUAAAAUUCUAACUUUGUAUUGUUAGCCAAUCAGGGGACAGUUUCAGGCGGGCAGUUUGACUGGGGCGGUCACCUCCUAAAAGGUAACGGAGGUGUACAAAGGUUUUCUCAAAUCGGUCAGAAAUCGAUUAAAGAGUAUAAAGGCAUAAGAAAGCUUGACUGUGAGACUUACAAGUCAAACAGAGACGAAAGUCGGUCUUAGUGAUCUGGCGAUAUUGAGUGGAAAAGUCGUCACUCAACGGAUAAAAGUUA